RNAcentral lists this long non-coding RNA (551 nucleotides) under Erythranthe guttata (spotted monkey flower). RNAcentral's name for it is "long non-coding RNA (EGUT_LNC002742)". Lineage: Eukaryota; Viridiplantae; Streptophyta; Magnoliopsida; Lamiales; Phrymaceae. The record is from RNAcentral.
CCCACAAUCUUACAUUAAAUAAACAAGAAAUAUCAAUUCUCUUAACAAAGAAAUGAUCCACACAUACAAAUAUAUAGCACAAUAAAUAAAUAUAUAAAACACUAAUUAAGAACACAAUCUAAUUAAUUAUAAGUCCCUACAAAUUUUACAGACACAAUUCAAAUAAUUAAAACUAAAACCCCCAAUAAAAAUAAAAAAAAUCAGAGAGGCCAAUUAAUGGGGGCUUUUGAUGAAAGUGAAUGGACAUACUUACAAUUAGGACAAGAUGGAGAAGACCUACAUAGUAUUACUAGAAGAUGGCAAUUUGAACAAGCUAAUGCCACCAUAUUAUUAUUAUUAUUUAUAUUAUUAUUAACAAUAUUUUUCGAAUAAGAAGAAGACGACGACGAAGAAGAAGCAGAAGAAGAAGAACCCUUUUGCUCGUAAUUAUUAUAAGAAGUAGUAGUUGAGAUGUUGAGUUCGAGGUCUAGCUUCUGCUCCACUUCCGGUCUGAUCCAGCUCUUCGUCGAUGUCUUUCUGUGCACAUAGUACAUUCUUCCCGACUGCAGAAA